GAUGAACGCUGGCGGCGUGCCUAAUACAUGCAAGUCGAGCGAACAGAUGAGGAGCUUGCUCCUCUGACGUUAGCGGCGGACGGGUGAGUAACACGUGGAUAACCUACCUAUAAGACUGGGAUAACUUCGGGAAACCGGAGCUAAUACCGGAUAAUAUAUUGAACCGCAUGGUUCAAUAGUGAAAGACGGUUUUGCUGUCACUUAUAGAUGGAUCCGCGCCGCAUUAGCUAGUUGGUAAGGUAACGGCUUACCAAGGAACGAAUGCGUAGCCGACCUGAGAGGGUGAUCGGCCACACUGGAACUGAGACACGGUCCAGACUCCUACGGGAGGCAGCAGUAGGGAAUCUUCCGCAAUGGGCGAAAGCCUGACGGAGCAACGCCGCGUGAGUGAUGAAGGUCUUCGGAUCGUAAAACUCUGUUAUUAGGGAAGAACAAAUGUGUAAGUAACUAUGCACGUCUUGACGGUACCUAAUCAGAAAGCCACGGCUAACUACGUG
Molecule: ribosomal RNA, 497 nt
Filed under: uncultured bacterium
Lineage: Bacteria
Description: partial 16S ribosomal RNA
Rfam family: Bacterial small subunit ribosomal RNA
Source: RNAcentral